AUGACGUCAAAUCAUCAUGCCCUUUAUGACCUGGGCUACAAACGUACUACAAUGGCCAAUACAAAGAGAUGCGAAGCGGUGACGUGGAGCGAACCUCAGAAAGUUGGUCUCAGUUCAGAUUGAAGUCUGCAACUCGACUUCAUGAAGGCGGAAUCGCUAGUAAUCGCGGGUCAGCAGACCGCGGUGAAUACGUUCCCGGUUU
This 202-nucleotide ribosomal RNA is filed under the name uncultured Mollicutes bacterium. Its description in RNAcentral is "partial 16S ribosomal RNA". It matches the Rfam family "Bacterial small subunit ribosomal RNA", at positions 1179 to 1377 of the family's 1533-position model. Lineage: Bacteria; Bacillati; Mycoplasmatota; Mollicutes. The record is from RNAcentral.